AGUGAACGCUGGCUGCAGGCCUAACACAUGCAAGUCGAGCGGCAGCGCGGGGGCAACCCUGGCGGCGAGCGGCGGACGGGUGAGGAAUUCGUCGGAAUCUGCCUUUUUGUGGGGGAUAACGUAGGGAAACUUACGCUAAUACCGCAUACGUCCUACGGGAGAAAGUGGGGGACCGCAAGGCCUCACGCAGAAAGAUGAGCCGACGACCGAUUAGCUAGUUGGUGGGGUAAAGGCCCACCAAGGCGACGAUCGGUAGCUGGUCUGAGAGGAUGAUCAGCCACACUGGGACUGAGACACGGCCCAGACUCCUACGGGAGGCAGCAGUGGGGAAUAUUGGACAAUGGGCGCAAGCCUGAUCCAGCCAUGCCGCGUGUGUGAAGAAGGCCUUCGGGUUGUAAAGCACUUUUGUCCGGAAAGAAAUCCCUGGAGCUAAUACCUUCGGGGGAUGACGGUACCGGAAGAAUAAGCACCGGCUAACUUCGUG
RNAcentral lists this ribosomal RNA (484 nucleotides) under uncultured bacterium. RNAcentral's name for it is "partial 16S ribosomal RNA". It matches the Rfam family "Bacterial small subunit ribosomal RNA", at positions 29 to 507 of the family's 1533-position model. The record is from RNAcentral.